UAGGGAAUCUUCCGCAAUGGGCGAAAGCCUGACGGAGCAAUGCCGCGUGAUUGAAGAAGGCCUUCGGGUCGUAAAACUCUGUUAUAAGAGAAGAACAAAUUGUAGAGUAACUGCUACAGUCUUGACGGUAUCUUAUCAGAAAGCCACGGCUAACUACGUGCCAGCAGCCGCGGUAAUACGUAGGUGGCAAGCGUUGUCCGGAUUUAUUGGGCGUAAAGGGAGCGCAGGUGGUUUCUUAAGUCUGAUGUGAAAGCCCACGGCUUAACCGUGGAGGGUCAUUGGAAACUGGGAAACUUGGGUACAGAAGAGGAAUGUGGAACUCCAGGUGUAGCGGUGGAAUGCGGAGAUAUAUGGAAGAACACCAGUGGCGAAGGAGACAUUCUGGUCUGUUACUGACACUGAGGCUCGAAAGCGUGGGGAGCAAACAGG
This 429-nucleotide ribosomal RNA is filed under the name Actinomycetes bacterium. RNAcentral's name for it is "Actinobacteria bacterium partial 16S ribosomal RNA". It matches the Rfam family "Bacterial small subunit ribosomal RNA", at positions 355 to 776 of the family's 1533-position model. The record is from RNAcentral. Lineage: Bacteria; Bacillati; Actinomycetota; Actinomycetes.